ACUCCUCCAGACUUACCCUUUUGCUUGUCCUCAAGCAAAACAAAGAGUAGUCUUUAUGAAAGAGGUUUGAAAACAGCAAGGAUUCACACAAUUUAAGAACUCACUAUCAUCACCUCUACAAUGUUGCUAGCCACAUCAAAUCAAUUCUAACUUUAGAGGUAUUUUAUAUACCAUAUCCUAGCUUACCAACCAAAUCCAUCUAACCAAGAACUUAGCUAAUAAUGUAUGACUCGCCCCUCUACUGAUCUCAUUUAGCACAUACAUAGAAAGUGUAGGCUUUACAUUGGGAGUAUCGAUCAAAAGACACAUGGACUCUUACUCAAGCAAGUUUCUGAAAACACAUGUAGUCUUAUCUGAUCCCUUUCUUCCCUCUUUCUCUUUCUCUGAAUCUCUAUUCCAAUGAACAAUGAUGGUAUUCAUCUUCUUUUCGAUUUUUCUCUUUUAUAUUUCUCUUCUUUUUUUUAUUGACAAAUUGUAGGCGAAUAAUGGGGUCACAGGAGACACUCCUACCCUUCACUUCCAACGAUGUGCGAUCAUUCCAUUAGAGUAGAAUAAUGAGGUCGCAAGAGACACUCCUACCCCUCUAAACCGCAAGAAAUCAUUUCAAUCUUUUUAUACUUAU
RNAcentral lists this long non-coding RNA (622 nucleotides) under Brassica napus (rape). Its description in RNAcentral is "long non-coding RNA (BNAP_LNC011830)". The record is from RNAcentral. Lineage: Eukaryota; Viridiplantae; Streptophyta; Magnoliopsida; Brassicales; Brassicaceae.